Microcebus murinus (gray mouse lemur) is the source of this 204-nucleotide unclassified non-coding RNA. Lineage: Eukaryota; Metazoa; Chordata; Mammalia; Primates; Cheirogaleidae. The record is from Ensembl.
GUUCUCUGCUAGAUCUCUCCGGGAUCGCCUUCCUUGCGCACUUUGGUUAUUGAUCUUGCUGAACCGGCCUGAGCGCAGAGGCUGCGCUGCUCUGGGGACGAAGGGAGGGGGGAGAUGAGUAGGCUAGGGAAAUGGUGGUGGGAGGAGAGGUUAAUAAACUUUAGGAGAGGGUGUAGGGCGUUCCUCAGUAGCCCAGAGCCGCCC